This 484-nucleotide ribosomal RNA is filed under the name uncultured bacterium. Its description in RNAcentral is "partial 16S ribosomal RNA". It matches the Rfam family "Bacterial small subunit ribosomal RNA", at positions 29 to 507 of the family's 1533-position model. The record is from RNAcentral.
AUUGAACGCUGGCGGCAUGCUUUACACAUGCAAGUCGAACGGCAGCGCGGGCUUCGGCCUGGCUGCGAGUGGCGAACGGGUGAGUAAUGCAUCGGAACGUGCCCAGUAGUGGGGGAUAGCCCGGCGAAAGCCGGAUUAAUACCGCAUACGACCUGAGGGUGAAAGCGGGGGACCGAAAGGCCUCGCGCUAUUGGAGCGGCCGAUGUCGGAUUAGCUAGUUGGUGGGGUAAAGGCUUACCAAGGCGACGAUCCGUAGCUGGUCUGAGAGGACGACCAGCCACACUGGGACUGAGACACGGCCCAGACUCCUACGGGAGGCAGCAGUGGGGAAUUUUGGACAAUGGGGGCAACCCUGAUCCAGCCAUGCCGCGUGCGAGAAGAAGGCCUUCGGGUUGUAAACCGCUUUUGUUCGGGAAGAAAUCCUCUGGGCUAAUACCCCGGGGGGAUGACGGUACCGGAAGAAUAAGCACCGGCUAACUACGUG